CUGAUGUUCAUAUGAUGAAAUCAUAAUCUUUCAGUCAGUUUAGUUGAAGUCUGGAGCUGGCAUGUCAGUUAACUGCUAGUAGUCUGUUGUUAUUUAUGUAUUAUUGUCAUUUUGUUUAUUUUCUUUGGUUACAUCUUCUGACAUCAGACUCGGAUUUCUCUUGAACUGAAUUUUAAUGUGCGUAUUGUUAUGCGUUUACUUUACUACAUUGGUUAGAGGUAUAGGGGGAGGGUUGAGAUCUCACAAACAUGUUUAACCCCACCGCAUUUUUGCGCCUGUCCCAAGUCAGGAGCCUCUGGCCUUUGUUAGUCUUGUAUUAUUUUAAUUUUAGUUUCUUGUGUACAAUUUGGAAAUUAGUAUGGCGUUCAUUAUCACUGGACUAGUAUAUAUUUGUUUAGGGGCCAGCUGAAGGAC
Molecule: long non-coding RNA, 414 nt
Filed under: Mytilus galloprovincialis (Mediterranean mussel)
Lineage: Eukaryota; Metazoa; Mollusca; Bivalvia; Mytilida; Mytilidae
Source: RNAcentral